CGGCAACGGAUAUCUCGGCUCUCGCAUCGAUGAAGAACGUAGCGAAAUGCGAUACUUGGUGUGAAUGGCAGAAUCCCGUGAACCAUCGAGUCUUUGAACGCAAGUUGCGCCCGAAGCCGUCAGGCCGAGGGCACGCCUGCCUGGGCGUCGCACGCCGUCGCCCCC
This 165-nucleotide ribosomal RNA is filed under the name Cydonia oblonga (quince). RNAcentral's name for it is "5.8S ribosomal RNA". The stretch from base 3 to 150 matches the Rfam family "5.8S ribosomal RNA". Rfam says of the family: 5.8S ribosomal RNA (5.8S rRNA) is a component of the large subunit of the eukaryotic ribosome. It is transcribed by RNA polymerase I as part of the 45S precursor that also contains 18S and 28S rRNA. Lineage: Eukaryota; Viridiplantae; Streptophyta; Magnoliopsida; Rosales; Rosaceae. The record is from RNAcentral.